This 254-nucleotide ribosomal RNA is filed under the name uncultured bacterium. RNAcentral describes it as "partial 16S ribosomal RNA". It matches the Rfam family "Bacterial small subunit ribosomal RNA", at positions 524 to 776 of the family's 1533-position model. The record is from RNAcentral.
UACGGGGGGAGCAAGCGUUGUUCGGAUUUACUGGGCGUAAAGGGCGCGUAGGCGGCCACUGCAAGUCAGUUGUGAAAUCUCCGGGCUUAACCCGGAAAGGUCAACUGAUACUGUGCGACUAGAGUGCGGAAGGGGCAACUGGAAUUCUCGGUGUAGCGGUGAAAUGCGUAGAUAUCGAGAGGAACACCUGCGGCGAAGGCGGGUUGCUGGGCCGACACUGACGCUGAUGCGCGAAAGCCAGGGGAGCGAACGGG